AGACUGUCGUGGGACAGUCGUGAGACAGUCGUGGGACAGUCGUGGGACAGUCGUGGGACAGUCGUGGAACAGUCGUGGAACAGUCGUGAGACUGUCGUGGGACUGUCGUGGAACAGUCGUGAGACUGUCGUGGGACUGUCGUGAGACAGUCGUGAGACAGUCGUGAGACAGUCAUGGGACUGUCGUAGGACAGUCGUGAGACAGUCGUGGAACAGUCGUGAGACUGUCGUGAGACUGUCGUGGGACUGUCGUGGGACUUUCUGCGAGACAGUUGUGAGAAGUCUAAGACGGUCGGUGAGACAGUCUUACAGACGUAAGAAAGUUGGUGGGACAGUGUGUGAGGCAGUCGGUGGAACAGUCCGAGACAGCCAUGGGACGAAGGACAGUCGUGAGACAGUCAUGGGACUGUCGUAGGACAGUCGUGAGACAGUCAUGGGACUGUCUGCGAGACAGAUUUCCGGCGGAACAGAGCCCCACCCUCCCCCAUCACCCUGUGUGACUCCCCCGUCACUAUUGUGGAUUCCUUCCGUUUCCUGGGCUCCAUCAUCACCCAGGACCUCAAGUGGGAGCUGAACAUCAGCUCCAUCACCAAGAAGGCUCAUCAGAGGUUGUUCUUCCUGAGGCAGCUGAAGAAACUCAACCUGCCAAAGACGAUGAUGGUCCACUUCUACACGGCCAUCAUCGAGUCCAUCCUCGGCUCCUCCAUCACCGUCUGGUACGCUGCAGCCACAGCCAAGGACAAGGGCAGGCUUCAGCGGGUCAUCCGCUCUGCAGAGAGGGUGAUCGGCUGCAAUCUGCCGUCCCUGCAGGACUUGUUCGCUUCCAGGUCUCUGAAGCAAGCUAAAAAGAUCGCGGCCGACCCCUCCCACCCCGGACAAAAACUGUUUGUGCCCCUUCCAUCUGGCAGGAGGCUGAGGUCCAUCAGGACUACGACCUCCCGCCACAAGAACAGUUUCUUCCCGUCGGCAGUCGGGCUCAUCAACAGAGCCCGAUCCCCCACUGCCUGACCAUAACACUCCACCCGUCACUCCCCCUCAUACUGCACAUGCCACUUUAACUGCAAUUCAUCACUUUGUCACUUGUCACUUUGUCUCUUGUCUGUUACUUGUUUGUUAGGGCACUUUAUGCUUAAUAUUUUUCUUUAACUUAAUAUUUCAAUUUUUUUUAACUUUAUUCCCUUGUUUUAUACUAACCCAUAGCCUUAGCCUUAUUCUACUAACCCAUUGCACUAGCAUUUCAUUCUACUUUAUUACUUGUGCACUGUUGUCUUGUCUGUCUACUGUCGCGCACUAACCGCCAAGACAAAUUCCUUGUAUGUUUGACAUAUUUUGGCUAAUAAAUAUUUCCUGAUUCCUGAUUCCUGAAGCCUGUAAGACGGUCGGUGAGACAGUCUUACAAACGAGCUGAAUGAGAUCUACUGCAGAUUCAAUAGACAAUGUCCUGAUCCCAUCCCCCACAGCUCCACCAACCUGCCCCAGUCCCCCACGUUAUGGUCCGGCUCAAAGGCCACAACAAAUAAGAGGAAAUCACGCUCCAGGGAGAACCAGCCAAAGAUGUUUAUUCACCAAACUGAUUAAACAAACAAAACACAGCAAAGGGAAACACUAUUGUGCUGGGGACCAGGAGAACCCCAAGCAGUCAACCCCAAACAAUCAGAAAGGGCAGGUUUUAAUGCACUCAAGAGACAGCGGACAGCUGCGUCGAAUCUGCCUUAUGGCCUCAGCUCCACUCCACCAGGAAGUUUACCCGGUAACACACACACAGACAGACACACCCACAAAUACCCUGGCAGUGGCCCUGGGGCCGUCACACCCACCCCUCCGUCCCCCAGCCCAUCAGGGGCUCACGCCUCUGUAUCACCUUCCCCUCCCCCACGUACCAGCCUGCUUCAAGGCCUCCACCAUCAUCCCUAUUCCCAAGCAGCCCAGGAUCACAGGACUCAAUGACUACAGGCCCACCUCCCUGACCUCUGUAGUCAUGAAGUCUUUUGAACGGCUAGUCCUGUCCCACCUGAAGACCCUCACUGACCCCCUCCUGGACCCCCUGCAGUUCGCCUACAGAAUCAACAGGUCUGUGGACGAUGCUGUCAACAUGGCCCUCAACUACAUCCUCCAGCCUCUGGACUCCCCAGGAACCUACGCCAGGAUCCGGUUUGUGGACUUCAGCUCUGCCUUCAACACCAUCAUCCCGUCUCUGCUGCAGGACAAACUCUCAGCUACACAGACAAAUAACAAAGGAUCCAAACAAAUAAGUUAGCGGGUGUAGAGCUGAUGCUCAGUGAUCCAUGCCCGGUCAGGCCGCUUCAGCCAAACAGCGUGGGUCGGAGGGAUCGACGCUACCAUGAGAAUUACCAGCGGCGGACAUUGAGUGCAUCAGGUGGAGAGUAGUAUGCAGCCACACCAGUGAGCUUCUGUCACCACACAGCGCCGCGUGAAAGACGCCUGGCUAAUGAAAUGCAGACAGGUGCUCUGAGGCCGCCUUUGUACCGCAUUGUCAUGCAGCGAUUGGCUGUGAUCCAGACCCAGCUGAAAGUUAUUAGGACCAAUCACUGCAUACUGCCACACAAGCCCAAAAGAUCGUAGCCGACCCCUCUCACCCCAGACAAAACCUGUUUGUGCCCCUUCCAUCUGGAAGGAGGCUGAGGUCCCUUCAGGGCUAAGACCUCCCGCCACACGAACAGUUUCUUCCCUUCGGCAGUCGGGCUCAUCAACAGAGCCCGGUCAUCCACUGACUGACUCUGACAUUCCUCUGGUCACUUUCUUUUAAAAUUCAUAUUUUUAAAUCUAACUUUAUUCUUUUAUUUUAAACUAACCCAUAUAAUAAAAUGCUAAUGCUAUGGGGUAGUUAACAUUAGCAUUUUAUUUUAUUACGCGUGCACUGCUAGUUUGUCUAUUGUCAUACUGUCUACUGUCACGCACCAACCGCCAAGUCACAUUCCUUGUAUGUAUGACAUAUUUUGGCGAUAAAUGUCAAUGACACCUCCAAUCUACAGCAGAACCUGGCAUAUCAGGAGAUUGGAGCUACUUAGGCUCUACCACCACCACCAGUGUCUGGACUCCCAAAGGGGGGAUAUGCCUCAUCUCAGCAUCCUGGCCCCUGCGGCAGGAUGGAGUCCAAGCCCCAAACAACUUUGCAAUAUAAGUAUUUAUGCCUGUUAUAAUAAAGCAUUGUUAAAAUUUCAAGAA
Long non-coding RNA from Gasterosteus aculeatus aculeatus (three-spined stickleback), 3185 nucleotides. The record is from Ensembl. NCBI's taxonomy places the organism in Eukaryota, Metazoa, Chordata, Actinopteri, Perciformes, Gasterosteidae.